This 1225-nucleotide ribosomal RNA is filed under the name Salmonella enterica. RNAcentral describes it as "partial 23S ribosomal RNA". It matches the Rfam family "Bacterial large subunit ribosomal RNA", at positions 1726 to 2925 of the family's 2925-position model. The record is from RNAcentral. RNAcentral also lists the same sequence under 1 other name. Lineage: Bacteria; Pseudomonadati; Pseudomonadota; Gammaproteobacteria; Enterobacterales; Enterobacteriaceae.
UGCCGUAACUUCGGGAGAAGGCACGCUGACACGUAGGUGAAGUGAUUUACUCAUGGAGCUGAAGUCAGUCGAAGAUACCAGCUGGCUGCAACUGUUUAUUAAAAACACAGCACUGUGCAAACACGAAAGUGGACGUAUACGGUGUGACGCCUGCCCGGUGCCGGAAGGUUAAUUGAUGGGGUCAGCGCAAGCGAAGCUCCUGAUCGAAGCCCCGGUAAACGGCGGCCGUAACUAUAACGGUCCUAAGGUAGCGAAAUUCCUUGUCGGGUAAGUUCCGACCUGCACGAAUGGCGUAAUGAUGGCCAGGCUGUCUCCACCCGAGACUCAGUGAAAUUGAACUCGCUGUGAAGAUGCAGUGUACCCGCGGCAAGACGGAAAGACCCCGUGAACCUUUACUAUAGCUUGACACUGAACAUUGAGCCUUGAUGUGUAGGAUAGGUGGGAGGCUUUGAAGUGUGGACGCCAGUCUGCAUGGAGCCGACCUUGAAAUACCACCCUUUAAUGUUUGAUGUUCUAACGUGGACCCGUGAUCCGGGUUGCGGACAGUGUCUGGUGGGUAGUUUGACUGGGGCGGUCUCCUCCUAAAGAGUAACGGAGGAGCACGAAGGUUGGCUAAUCCUGGUCGGACAUCAGGAGGUUAGUGCAAUGGCAUAAGCCAGCUUGACUGCGAGCGUGACGGCGCGAGCAGGUGCGAAAGCAGGUCAUAGUGAUCCGGUGGUUCUGAAUGGAAGGGCCAUCGCUCAACGGAUAAAAGGUACUCCGGGGAUAACAGGCUGAUACCGCCCAAGAGUUCAUAUCGACGGCGGUGUUUGGCACCUCGAUGUCGGCUCAUCACAUCCUGGGGCUGAAGUAGGUCCCAAGGGUAUGGCUGUUCGCCAUUUAAAGUGGUACGCGAGCUGGGUUUAGAACGUCGUGAGACAGUUCGGUCCCUAUCUGCCGUGGGCGCUGGAGAACUGAGGGGGGCUGCUCCUAGUACGAGAGGACCGGAGUGGACGCAUCACUGGUGUUCGGGUUGUCAUGCCAAUGGCACUGCCCGGUAGCUAAAUGCGGAAGAGAUAAGUGCUGAAAGCAUCUAAGCACGAAACUUGCCCCGAGAUGAGUUCUCCCUGAGACUUUAGGUCUCCUGAAGGAACGUUGAAGACGACGACGUUGAUAGGCCGGGUGUGUAAGCGCAGCGAUGCGUUGAGCUAACCGGUACUAAUGAACCGUGAGGCUUAACCUUACA